This 468-nucleotide ribosomal RNA is filed under the name uncultured bacterium. RNAcentral's name for it is "partial 16S ribosomal RNA". It matches the Rfam family "Bacterial small subunit ribosomal RNA", at positions 28 to 507 of the family's 1533-position model. The record is from RNAcentral.
GACGAACGCUGGCGGCGUGCUUAACACAUGCAAGUCGAACGGAAAGGCCCUGCUUUUGUGGGGUGCUCGAGUGGCGAACGGGUGAGUAACACGUGAGUAACCUGCCCUUGACUUUGGGAUAACUUCAGGAAACUGGGGCUAAUACCGGAUAGGAGCUCCUGCUGCAUGGUGGGGGUUGGAAAGUUUCGGCGGUUGGGGAUGGACUCGCGGCUUAUCAGCUUGUUGGUGGGGUAGUGGCUUACCAAGGUUUUGACGGGUAGCCGGCCUGAGAGGGUGACCGGCCACAUUAGGACGGGGCUACGGCCCAGACUCCUACGGGAGGCAGCAGUGGGGAAUAUUGCACAAUGGGCGGAAGCCUGAUGCAGCAACGCCGCGUGCGGGAUGACGGCCUUCGGGUUGUAAACCGCUUUCGCCUGUGACGAAGCGUGAGUGACGGUAAUGGGUAAAGAAGCACCGGCUAACUACGUG